UUUUCCGUAGGGUGAACCUGCGGAAGGAUCAUU
RNAcentral lists this ribosomal RNA (33 nucleotides) under Boerhavia erecta. RNAcentral describes it as "partial 18S ribosomal RNA". Lineage: Eukaryota; Viridiplantae; Streptophyta; Magnoliopsida; Caryophyllales; Nyctaginaceae. The record is from RNAcentral.